RNAcentral lists this long non-coding RNA (1145 nucleotides) under Vulpes vulpes (red fox). RNAcentral's name for it is "lncRNA (ENSVVUG00000007339.1)". Lineage: Eukaryota; Metazoa; Chordata; Mammalia; Carnivora; Canidae. The record is from RNAcentral.
GAAAUUGUCAAGUGCAUUCAUGGACAGCAGACAGGGAGGACCAACAACCUGCAUGCUUCAUCUCGAGGCUGCAGGAGGCAGUGUGGUUUCCGGAGGCAUAGCAAAUGUAACCCUGAAAUCCUGAAAACAGGGAGGCCAGGCUGGACCGGCAGAUGGCAACAACUAACUUCACAGGCGUGGAGAGCGAAAGACACCCUUAGCAUCACUUCUGCUGUGUCCUUUCAGUCACAGCGAGUCACCAAGUCCACCCAGACUGAAGAGGUGUGUUCCAAGGUUUCAUCAGUUCAUGGUGGGAGAGGCAAAGCAUUUGUGAUCGCUCCUAAUCCACCACCACAAGAAGGCCCACUUUCUCCCCUCGGGAGAAGCCUUCCUUCAUCAGGAGGCAGCUCUGGCCUUUGGAGAAGAGGAGGAAAGAGUCCUGUAAGAUGUGACCUGGGGCUGCUGACCGGCCAGGGUGGGCUCAGCCACUGUCCUCCGCACCCCCAGCAUGUUCACAAGCAGACACCCCAGCCAGACUCCUCUGUGCUUCCAGGACCUGCAGGUUGUAGGCCAACAGCUCUGCAAGCUGUCUGGCCCUUGAGGCUCUGGUUCCCUGUGACCUCUAGUGGCCUAGAUUCCCCACCUUCCUCACUGCUGAGCCCAGCUCAAAACUCCCCCAGGCCUCUAACCACAGGCAACUCCAGCCCCCUCCCAGGCUAGCUGGCCAAGAGAACAAAAACUUUGCUUUUGUCUGCUCACCAGUCCAAGGCCUAACCUGCUUGACUUGCUUGUGGUCUGUGUUGACUCACUGUCCUCUCCUCCCACGCUCCUCCUUCAUCUCCUCCAUGGCCAUUUCCCGUGUCCUACUCAGUAGGAACCCCAACUCCCAGCCCCACAUUUACACCUAACCCUUGUCUGUGGGUUCCUCUGCCAGUCACAGACUUCCUGAUAUCCCUUUUGUGAGCACUUGUGAUGCUCUUUACCAUAACAAAGGAGAGUUUGAGAUGAAGGGAACUUCUGGUACAUACACUACCAAAGAGAGCCCGCUUUAAAACACCCGAGAAUUAAGAAUGAGCCAUUUCCUAGCCUAGAGUCCUUAUGUCAUUCAGGAUUUUAUUUUAAAGAUUUUAUUCAAAAAAUAAAUAAAGAUUUUAUUCAUUUAUUCA